GAUGAAGAACGUAGCGAAAUGCGAUACUUGGUGUGAAUUGCAGAAUCCCGUGAACCAUCGAGUCUUUGAACGCAAGUUGCGCCCGAAGCCAUUAGGCCGAGGGCACGCCUGCCUGGGCGUCACACGCCGUUGCCCCCCCAUCUACUCCUUCGGGAUUGCGGGGGGGCGGAUGAUGGCCUCCCGUGCGCCUAGCCGCGCGGUUGGCAUAAAUACCAAGUCCUCGGCGACGCACGCCACGACAAUCGGUGGUUGCGAAACCUCGGUUGCCCGUCGUGUGCGUUCGUCGCGCAUCGAGGGCUCGAAAAAAUGCUCGGCUCCGGCUGGGCUUUCAACGCGACCCCAGGUCAGGCGGGGUUACCCGCUGAAUUUAAGCAUAUCAAUAAGCGGAGGA
This 391-nucleotide unclassified non-coding RNA is filed under the name soil metagenome. RNAcentral describes it as "partial contains 5.8S ribosomal RNA, internal transcribed spacer 2, and large subunit ribosomal RNA". The stretch from base 1 to 122 matches the Rfam family "5.8S ribosomal RNA", at positions 35 to 154 of the family's 154-position model. The record is from RNAcentral.